UACAGAGGAGCCAAGCGUUGUCCGGAUUGACUGGGCGUAAAGCGCACGCAGGCGGUCGUGCGCGUGGGGUGUGAAAUCUGGCCGCUUAACGGCCAGGCGCCAUCCCAUACGGCACGACUGGAGGGCUGCAGAGGUCGAUGGAAUUGCCGGUGUAGUGGUGAAAUGCGUAGAGAUGCGGAGGAACACCGAUGGCGAAGGCAGCCCCCUGGGCUAACACUGACGCUCAGGCACGAAAGCGUGGGGAGCAAACAGG
RNAcentral lists this ribosomal RNA (253 nucleotides) under uncultured bacterium. RNAcentral's name for it is "partial 16S ribosomal RNA". It matches the Rfam family "Bacterial small subunit ribosomal RNA", at positions 524 to 776 of the family's 1533-position model. The record is from RNAcentral.